AUGACUUUACUCUGGUCUCACAGGAAAUGGCCUGAUCCUGAUCAAAGUGCACGUCAUCAUCAUCGUCAUAAUCAUCAUCAUUUCGUCAUCGUCGUCGUCAUCGUCAUCAUCGUCAUCCUCAUCAUCGUCAUCCUCAUCAUCGUCGUCAUCGUCAUCAUCAUCAUCAUCAUCAUCGUCGUCAUCAACGCCAUUGUCAUCGUCAUCAUCAUCAUCGUCAUCAUCAUCGUCAUCAUCAUUUCGUCAUCGUCGUCGUCAUCGUCAUCAUCGUCGUCAUCGUCAUCAUCAUCAUCAUCAUCAUCAUCGUCGUCAUCAACGCCAUUGUCAUCGUCAUCAUCAUCAUCGUCAUCAUCGUCAUCAUCAUCGUCAUCAUCAUCAUCAUUUCGUCAUCGUCGUCGUCAUCAUCGUCAUCCUCAUCAUCGUCGUCAUCGUCAUCAUCAUCAUCUUCAUCAUCGCCAUUGUCGUCAUUGUCGUCUUCAUCAUCAUCAUCAUCGUCGUCAUCGUCAACAUCAUCAUUGUCAUCAUCAUCAUCAUCAUCGUCGUCAUCAACGCCAUUGUCGUCGUCAUCAUCAUCAUCAUCAUCAUCGUCAUCAACGCCAUUGUCAUCGUCAUCAUCAUCAUCGUCAUCAUCGUCAUCAUCAUCGUCAUCAUCAUCAUCAUUUCGUCAUCGUCGUCGUCAUCAUCGUCAUCCUCAUCAUCGUCGUCAUCGUCAUCAUCAUCAUCUUCAUCAUCGCCAUUGUCGUCAUUGUCGUCUUCAUCAUCAUCAUCAUCGUCGUCAUCGUCAACAUCAUCAUUGUCAUCAUCAUCAUCAUCAUCGUCGUCAUCAACGCCAUUGUCGUCGUCAUCAUCAUCAUCAUCAUCAUCAUCAUCAACGCCAUUGUCAUCGUCAUCAUCAUCAUCGUCAUCAUCAUCAUCAUCAUCAUCAUCAUCGUCAUCAUCAUCGUCAUCAUCAUCAUCAUUUCGUCAUCGUCGUCGUCAUCGUCAUCAUCGUCAUCGUCAUCAUCAUCAUCUUCAUCAUCGCCAUUGUCGUCAUUGUCGUCUUCAUCAUCAUCAUCAUCGUCGUCAUCGUCAACAUCAUCAUUGUCAUCAUCAUCAUCAUCAUCGUCGUCAUCAACGCCAUUGUCGUCGUCAUCAUCAUCAUCAUCAUCAUCAUCGUCGUCAUCAACGCCAUUGUCAUCGUCAUCAUCAUCAUCGUCAUCAUCAUCGUCGUCAUCAUCAUCGUCGUCAUCAUCAUCAUCGUCCUCUUCGUCGUCCUCCUCAUCAUCAUCAUCGUCAUCCUCAUCCUCAUCAUCGUCAUCAUCUUUAAAAGAAAGAUUCUGUUUUCAUCUCAAGUAA
Molecule: long non-coding RNA, 1332 nt
Filed under: Nothobranchius furzeri (turquoise killifish)
Lineage: Eukaryota; Metazoa; Chordata; Actinopteri; Cyprinodontiformes; Nothobranchiidae
Description: lncRNA (ENSNFUG00015008679.1)
Source: RNAcentral